GGCAGGCCUAACACAUGCAAGUCGAACGGCAGCACAGUGGAGCUUGCUCCAUGGGUGGCGAGUGGCGGACGGUGAGGAAUACAUCGGAAUCUGCCCAGUCGUGGGGAUAACAUAGGGAAACUUUAUGCUAAUACCGCAUACGACCUACGGGUGAAAGCGGGGGAUCGCAAGACCUCGCGCGAUUGGAUGAGCCGAUGUCCGAUUAGCUAGUUGACGGGGUAAUGGCCCACCAAGGCGACGAUCGGUAGCUGGUCUGAGAGGAUGAUCAGCCACACUGGAACUGAGACACGGUCCAGACUCCUACGGGAGGCAGCAGUGGGGAAUAUUGGACAAUGGGCGCAAGCCUGAUCCAGCCAUGCCGCGUGGGUGAAGAAGGCCUUCGGGUUGUAAAGCCCUUUUGUCCGGAAAGAAACGCCUCGGAUUAAUACUCUGGGGUAAUGACGGUACCGGAAGAAUAAGCACCGGCUAACUUCGUG
RNAcentral lists this ribosomal RNA (476 nucleotides) under uncultured bacterium. RNAcentral describes it as "bacterial SSU rRNA". It matches the Rfam family "Bacterial small subunit ribosomal RNA", at positions 41 to 507 of the family's 1533-position model. The record is from RNAcentral.